RNAcentral lists this ribosomal RNA (207 nucleotides) under uncultured bacterium. RNAcentral's name for it is "partial 16S ribosomal RNA". It matches the Rfam family "Bacterial small subunit ribosomal RNA", at positions 568 to 774 of the family's 1533-position model. The record is from RNAcentral.
CGCGCAGGCGGGUUGGCAAGUCAGAGGUGAAAUCCUAUAGCUUAACUGUAGAACUGCCUUUGAGACUGCUAAUCUUGAGUACGGAAGAGAGAGAUGGAAUUCCAGGUGUAGUGGUGAAAUACGUAGAUAUCUGGAAGAACAUCAGUGGCGAAGGCGAUCUCUUGGUCCUUUACUGACGCUAAGGCGCGGAAGCGUGGGGAGCAAACA